This 65-nucleotide transfer RNA is filed under the name Lampsilis ornata (southern pocketbook). Its description in RNAcentral is "tRNA-Arg". The record is from RNAcentral. Lineage: Eukaryota; Metazoa; Mollusca; Bivalvia; Unionida; Unionidae.
AAGCAAGAAAACUUCAUAGUAUUAUGAUUUCGACCCAUAAAUAGGUAUACUUAUACCCUUGCUUU